UUAAAAAAACUUUAUUGCCAUUUAUUGAAUGAAAGACAUGGUGAUAGUUACUAAUAUCCCAAAAAUGUCUGAAUUCUUUGGGUUAUACUCUAAAUUAGAAAUUGCGGAGAAUUUCACAUUGUUGGCCAAUUCAUUUUGGCCAACAAAUUCAGCACUGAGUUUCCCAUUAUCGUGUUAAUUCUUCACAAUUUCCACGUUAGUCAAUAACCCAAUUUAUAUUUCAACGUUUGUAUUUUUCCAAAGCUUGAUACUGAAUGAAAAGCAUUCUAUAUGUUAUAUAUCGUAUUAUUUGUGUGAAGAUUUAACUAUGUAACUCAUUUAUCAUCUCUGUCAGAUUUUAUCAGCAGUUGCUUUUUUUGCAUUUUCCACCAUUAACCAUUUAAUAUAUGACAUAUUUGGCCAGACUUUUCCAACACUGUGUAUUUGGCAGUCUAUUAAAACGGAAAUUUCUGUGAAAACUGGCAAAAUUUACAAGGAAACCACCAUUUUAUAGAUCAUAAAUAUGAUAAUUAUAAUGGCAGAAUUUAAUGAAGACUACACUAUUAUAGGCUAAAUGAAAUCCUUUCAAUAUAUUUCUUGAGUGACAGCAUUCAAAUUGGGGUACUUGUCCUGCAAUUUAUAAAUGAAUAAAUCAAUUUGGCUAGAAGUAUUAAUUUCUCUAGAACAAGGCUCAAAAUAAAUGUGACAUUUAUAAGCUCCUGAUAUAAAAGAAGUAAAAAAGGUGUUUGUAAACCCCCCGAAGUACAUACGUUUUGGUAAGAUAAGUGCCAUUUGGAUAUUCAGGUCUUAUAUUAGCUAUUUCAGGAAAAAAAAUAAGAUCAUUCAUUUUCAGUAAUACUGCAAAUUGCAUUGCUGUAAUAUUAAGCACUUGUAGAAAUCCAAAAAUGCUAUUUUUCCUUUCACCCAAACUCUCUCUGAUACUAAAAUUGAUACAAAUAAGCUAAAAAUGUUAAAUUGGCAGGGUCCUCAGGACUCUACAUAAUUAGAAGUUACUUACAUCUACUUUCCUCAAGAAACAAAGUUAUUAGCAGAGUUCUUUAGAACAAUGUUGUAAACAGAAAUUAUCUGACUGUCCCUUGCCCAAAAAUGGAUCCCUAAAACAUAGGUUCUUUUGAAGGGCUCAGCUUACUUCUUUUCACUCAUAAGCAGUGCGGAAUAAGAGUAAUUAUAUACAGAUGGGAUCCCUAUACUCUUUCUCCAUCCACUCAGGGAUAUAUAUAUAUAUAUCUUCUAUGAAUUAACAUAUCCUACUCCUUCCAAAUCAUUUUAAUUCUAAUAUUUUAUUACAAAGGGUGUUAAAUAAAACAUACAUAUUAGAAACAUUUAAAAAAUAAAUACUUACAAUAUACAGCCCUUGAUGUCCUUACCAAUUACCUGUGGAAGUGGGCAUAUAACAUGAAUUCUUAAUGGCUAAAUGGUCUAAAUUAAAAGCUGAGCUUAUAUGUCCCUAAAAUCCCAAGCUGUGUUUACUGGCAUUACAAUGAAAUGGCUUUAUAGAUAGCACAUCUCAAUGUAUCAAUGAGUACACCUUGUUCUUGUGAGGCUCGGUGACAGGGGCAAAGACAUCUCCAUUGAUUUUCUAUAACACCAGUCACAACGCCAGGAAAGAGUCAGGAGCAUUUUUAAUCAGAUUUUAGGUUUUAUUUUCUCCUUGUGAUUUUUUUUUCUUUGUGAUGGAGUGGGGGUGUGGAGGGGGGUCAUAUUUUCAGUUCAGCAUCCAGGAUUUAUUUUCUUUACUUAAUUUUUGGAGCCAAGAUCUACAGACGGAAGAACGAAUAUUAAUGUCUAUAGUGAUUAUAGGGCAUAUUGGAAAUUAAAACUUGAUAUUUUUUUGUUUUCUUUUCUUUUUAUUACGGUUAUAAAAAGGCCACACAUCUUCCUAUAAAUUGUUAAAGUUAAUGGUGGAAAGAAGUGUUUUGUGUUUCCAAUUAUAUUGGAUAUAUGGUGGACCGGUGGAGUUAUUGAAGUCUAAGGGAAUAGGAGUUUUGCCACGGAUUGUUCAGGCUAUCAUUUUUCAGUAAUUCUUUUAAUUGUUUAAUCCCUUUUGUAGUUGGUGUGACUGUCCUUUUUUAUAAUGAGAAUCCAUUGUCAGUUAAAAAGCUAAGUGACAAGAUAAUAAAGAGAGCGCAUAUACAAAAUAGAAACCAGUGUGGUUGUUAAUAUCGAUUGAAGAUGGUACCCAAGGUACCCUAUAAAUGACAGCUGCUAAACAAAAAGAAUAUUCCCAAUUCCUGUAUCAAAAUGAUAAAAGUGUUGUCAGCGCUUAGAAGAUAAUCCCCUUAAAUUAUAGCAUACUGGGGCAAUAAAUAUAUAUAGAAAUAAUAUAGCAAUAAAAAGCUAAACUCUAAAAAAAAGAGCUAUAAUAAAAAACUGAGAAAAUGCAAAUAAAAAUAUGUCUCUGAAAAGUCCAAAAUC
This 2415-nucleotide long non-coding RNA is filed under the name Pelobates cultripes (western spadefoot toad). Lineage: Eukaryota; Metazoa; Chordata; Amphibia; Anura; Pelobatidae. The record is from RNAcentral.